This 306-nucleotide unclassified non-coding RNA is filed under the name plant metagenome. RNAcentral describes it as "partial contains 5.8S ribosomal RNA, internal transcribed spacer 2, and large subunit ribosomal RNA". The stretch from base 1 to 106 matches the Rfam family "5.8S ribosomal RNA", at positions 49 to 154 of the family's 154-position model. The record is from RNAcentral.
CGAAAUGCGAUAAGUAAUGUGAAUUGCAGAAUUCAGUGAAUCAUCGAAUCUUUGAACGCACAUUGCGCCCGCCAGUAUUCUGGCGGGCAUGCCUGUUCGAGCGUCAUUUCAACCAUCAAGCCCCGGGCUUGUGUUGGGGACCUGCGGCUGCCGCAGGCCCUGAAAACCAGUGGCGGGCUCGCUGUCACACCGAGCGUAGUAGAUUCUCAUCUCGCUCAGGGCGUGCUGCGGGUUCCGGCCGUAAAACAGCCUUAUUUUACCCAAGGUUGACCUCGGAUCAGGUAGGAAGACCCGCUGAACUUAAGC